UGAGGAAUCUUGCGCAAUGGAGGAAACUCUGACGCAGCCACGCCGCGUGCAGGAAGACACCCCUCAGGGGCGUAAACUGCUUUUAUACGAGAAGAACACCCUGCUCGGCAGGGUCUGACGGUAUCGUAUGAAUAAGGACCGGCUAACUCCGUGCCAGCAGCCGCGGUAAUACGGAGGGUCCAAGCGUUGUCCGGAAUCACUGGGUGUAAAGGGUGUGUAGGCGGGCCUGCAAGUCAGAGGUGAAAGCCCCCGGCCUAACCGGGGAAUUGCCUUUGAGACUGUAGGUCUUGAGUCCUGGAGGGGUCACUAGAAUUCGUGGUGUAGCGGUGAAAUGCGUAGAUAUCACGAGGAAUACCAGAGGCGAAGGCGGGUGACUGGACAGGUACUGACGCUGAGGCACGAAAGCGUGGGGAGCAAACAGG
RNAcentral lists this ribosomal RNA (422 nucleotides) under uncultured bacterium. Its description in RNAcentral is "bacterial SSU rRNA". It matches the Rfam family "Bacterial small subunit ribosomal RNA", at positions 355 to 776 of the family's 1533-position model. The record is from RNAcentral.